CUGCCCUCCACUUCGGGAUAACCUCGGGAAAUCGUGGCUAAUACCGGAUAUGAGCACUCAUCGCAUGGUGGGUGUUGGAAAGAUUUAUCGGUGGGGGAUGGACUCGCGGCCUAUCAGUUUGUUGGUGAGGUGAUGGCUCACCAAGACGAUGACGGGUAGCCGGCCUGAGAGGGCGACCGGCCACACUGGGACUGAGACACGGCCCAGACUCCUACGGGAGGCAGCAGUGGGGAAUAUUGCACAAUGGGCGAAAGCCUGAUGCAGCGACGCCGCGUGGGGGAUGACGGCCUUCGGGUUGUAAA
This 302-nucleotide ribosomal RNA is filed under the name Brachybacterium sp. NIOT-CS21. Its description in RNAcentral is "bacterial SSU rRNA". It matches the Rfam family "Bacterial small subunit ribosomal RNA", at positions 126 to 429 of the family's 1533-position model. The record is from RNAcentral. Lineage: Bacteria; Bacillati; Actinomycetota; Actinomycetes; Micrococcales; Dermabacteraceae.